CUGGAACAUUCAUCACAUCUCUUUUUCUUCUGUUCACAAGGGGACGAGGGACCACUUUAUCAUCGUCCAUCCCAGUGUUUGGGAGCCACUGUCUGCAUCCCUUGCCAGCCCCCUCUGUAUAGGAGCUGGACCACAGCACAGCCUUGGAAACAGACACUUGAUGGCCUCAGAAUUGAAGCUCCUCUCUGACUUUGGCCCAUUGUUCUAGAACAUAAGCGAUAUCCGUGAUUCUCGCCUUUCUUCAGAGGAGUUCCCUGCCAGGAGCCUCCUGGACUCUCAUGCAGGGUCCACCACUAAGUUUGUGCUCAAAGAUUUUUGCAGGCUGAAGGAGCAGCUGCCAUUGUGAUGUCAAGAUCAUCUCUGAACGUCUCUGUUUCCAUCAAAAAGAAUUUAUUGGGAGAAGAAUUAGGCAAUGUUUCAAAGUUUCUUGGAUAAGUUUCUAGUGAGCUCUGGAUGCUUAAAAG
Molecule: long non-coding RNA, 464 nt
Filed under: Equus asinus (donkey)
Lineage: Eukaryota; Metazoa; Chordata; Mammalia; Perissodactyla; Equidae
Description: lncRNA (ENSEASG00005026734.1)
Source: RNAcentral